This 202-nucleotide unclassified non-coding RNA is filed under the name Glomerales sp. RNAcentral's name for it is "partial contains 5.8S ribosomal RNA and internal transcribed spacer 2". The stretch from base 1 to 71 matches the Rfam family "5.8S ribosomal RNA", at positions 84 to 154 of the family's 154-position model. Lineage: Eukaryota; Fungi; Glomeromycota; Glomeromycetes; Glomerales; Glomeraceae. The record is from RNAcentral.
GUGAAUCAUCGAAUUUUUGAACGCAUAUUGCACUCUCUGGUAUUCCGGAGAGUAUGCCUGUUUGAGGGUCGGUUUAAAUGAAAAUCGGUGUGGUUGCUGCCUUUCGUGGUGACGCAGGGGAUGUGGGGCGUCUUGAUUUUGGUUAAGUGACCUAAUAUAUUGGAUGAUAUUUUCGAAUGUAUUUAAAUGAUUUUAUAUAUGU